RNAcentral lists this transfer RNA (72 nucleotides) under Puccinia triticina. Its description in RNAcentral is "tRNA-Ser". It matches the Rfam family "tRNA". Rfam says of the family: Transfer RNA (tRNA) molecules are approximately 80 nucleotides in length. Their secondary structure includes four short double-helical elements and three loops (D, anti-codon, and T loops). RNAcentral also lists the same sequence under 1 other name. The record is from RNAcentral. Lineage: Eukaryota; Fungi; Basidiomycota; Pucciniomycetes; Pucciniales; Pucciniaceae.
GUGUACUUAGCUCAAUGGUUAGAGCAUCACUCAUGAAUGCUGAGUAUGUGAGUUUGACUCUCACAGUAGACG